RNAcentral lists this long non-coding RNA (852 nucleotides) under Scleropages formosus (Asian bonytongue). RNAcentral's name for it is "lncRNA (ENSSFOG00015029006.1)". Lineage: Eukaryota; Metazoa; Chordata; Actinopteri; Osteoglossiformes; Osteoglossidae. The record is from RNAcentral.
AAGACAUGAUGUCGAACAAAAAUAAUUAAAUGCUUAUGUCAGCUAAAUUGUUGAAAAUGAAUUCUGGUAAAGCUACAAACUGCUAAACAGUAAUUAGCAGUAGAUCCAAGUUCGCCUUAUAAUUACAAACUAUUCAGUACAAAGGCAGUUGUUUCUUAGUAUGUUUGUCAGUGGAAUAUUACCAUUGAUUACCAAUAACCGCCAUGUGCCUUAUUUGUUUCACCAGCUAUAUUAAAUGAGUUCAAAAACCGUUAUUAAAAUUAUGUCACACCAAGUGUUAUUUCAGAAAAAGUGUUGUUUCCAGCUGUAAAACACGUGUGAGGUAUGUCAUAUAUGCUGAGGACUACAUUACCCACAAUACACUAAAAUGGGCUCGACGUGAUGACGACACAGUUCACCUAAAAACUCUUCCCUUUCGUUUAUUACGUCCUCUUGGAGUUGGUGCCAUAUUAGAAAGGGCCAUCUCCACGACAUGCGAGCGAAGUGGAGAAAGAAGCGUAUGCGCAGGCUGAAGCGCAAAAGGAGAAAGAUGAGGCAGAGGUCCAAGUAAAGUGACCCCUCUGGUGCAGCUGUGGUGUGCCCACCCCCCACUUCCUGCUCUUUGUGCGGCUUGGGAUGACCUGAGAGAUGACCUUCCAGCAGCAGUCAUCCAGGAUGGUGAACUACGGGACUUUCUACCACCACACCACACCACUCCACUCCACUCACCCUCCCUUGCUGAUGGUGUUUCCAAAGAGCCUAUGAAGAAGCUGGAUGCUGUGCCAAUUGCUUUGGCAUAAUGGACUCUCAACACCUACCCCUCACAGCUGCUUUGUUUGAAACAUCUGAAUAAAGUCUUUGGUUUACAAACCA